AUAACAUUGAACUAACUCCCUGGGAACGAUUUUUUCCCCCUUUUCUUCAGUUAUCUGACCGAUGCGAGAGUCAUGCGAGUGUAUGACGCGGGCUUCUUCGACUACUCGCGUCUCUGAAACUGAUUCUCGUAAAUAGAAACGAUCGAUUGAUGGAUGUCUUGUCGUAAGCAUUGAGUUCAGUUUUCUAAAAUUCAAAAGCAGGUGAUUCCUUGGGACGAAACGUAAAAGUUCAGCUUGAAAUUACGAAUGAUGCAGAAGUAUACUGUGUUAAAUGCAAGAGGAGAAGUCUUAAAUUCCUGUCUUAAUUAAACUUUACGGUCUACUAUUUUCCACACGUGAUUCUUAUGUUUCAAUUUUCGUUGUUGUGUCGUCACAGUUGGUAAAAUUAUAGCAAAUUUCCUAUGUCAAUGUCUUCUGGAUAUACUUAGCCAAAAGUUAAAUAAACGUACUACGAUUUACAUGUGUAAAGUAUUCGAUUGUUUCAAUGAUUUGUUUGCGUUGUUAUAUAUUGAGUUGGCCGGAAAAGGAAGAAAGUGCACAAUUUCGUUAACAAUUGUUCGCCUGGCGUCGAUCUCAAAAUGAUAAAUCAGAAAAGGAACAUUUUGCUGUACCGUCUCUUGAAAAGAAGAAAAAGAAAAAAAAAAAAACACUGCGCAAGCUCAUGAGAAAUUAUCUGACAUGUAUGGUGAAGAAAUCUUCGAACCAUGACAGGUUGCAAAUCGUUCUUAAAACUUUUCUUUCUUCGUCGAAAGAGGUAAGAACGUUUUUUGAACAUUGAGUCGGUAAUUUGGCCAAAGAUGAUCGAAGAAAAUGGACAGUCUUGUCAAAAUUACGAUUUUCAUCGGUGACCGAAUCGGUGGAAGGAUCGAAAAUUUAUGCAGGAAUCUCGACCGCAUUCCGUCAACAUGGCGGCUGUGGAACGUGACCUAACGAAGCCUCGCCGUUGGAUUUGCUCCGACUUUUCUUGUCACAGAUGUUAAAUAAAUCUCAUAAUCCUCUUCUUUUUUAAUUGGCGCAGAAAAUAGAUUGUUGUAAUCAACAGAUUGGAUAUUUCGUAUUCAGACAUAUACAUAUAUACAGGGUGGUUUACAUUGAAAAACU
Long non-coding RNA from Frieseomelitta varia, 1101 nucleotides. RefSeq lists it as uncharacterized. The record is from RefSeq and is a predicted model, not a curated record. NCBI's taxonomy places the organism in Eukaryota, Metazoa, Arthropoda, Insecta, Hymenoptera, Apidae. The transcript has 3 exons.